RNAcentral lists this ribosomal RNA (253 nucleotides) under uncultured bacterium. RNAcentral's name for it is "partial 16S ribosomal RNA". It matches the Rfam family "Bacterial small subunit ribosomal RNA", at positions 524 to 776 of the family's 1533-position model. The record is from RNAcentral.
UACAGAGGGUGCGAGCGUUAAUCGGAAUUACUGGGCGUAAAGCGUGCGUAGACGGCUAUCUAAGUCGGGUGUGAAAGCCCCGGGCUCAACCUGGGAACUGCAUUUGAUACUCUGGUGCUGGAGUUCGGGAGAGGAGAGUGGAAUUCCCAGUGUAGAGGUGAAAUUCGUAGAUAUUGGGAAGAACACCGGUGGCGAAGGCGGCUCACUGGCUCAUUACUGACGCUCAGGCGCGAUAGCGUGGGGAUCAAACAGG